CCUACGGGAGGCAGCAGUGGGGAAUAUUGCACAAUGGGGGAAACCCUGAUGCAGCAACGCCGCGUGAGUGAAGAAGGUUUUCGGAUUGUAAAGCUCUGUUAGCAGGGAAGAGGAAGGACGGUACCUGACUAAGAAGCCCCGGCUAACUACGUGCCAGCAGCCGCGGUAAUACGUAGGGGGCAAGCGUUAUCCGGAUUUACUGGGUGUAAAGGGAGCGUAGACGGCAGCACAAGUCUGGAGUGAAAUCCCGGGGCUUAACCCCGGAACUGCUUUGGAAACUGUGCGGCUGGAGUGCAGGAGGGGUAAGCGGAAUGCCUAGUGUAGCGGUGAAAUGCGUAGAUAUUAGGAGGAACACCGGUGGCGAAGGCGGCUUACUGGACUGUAACUGACGUUGAGGCUCGAAAGCGUGGGGAGCAAACAGGAUUAGAUACCCGAGUAGUC
RNAcentral lists this ribosomal RNA (441 nucleotides) under uncultured bacterium. Its description in RNAcentral is "partial 16S ribosomal RNA". It matches the Rfam family "Bacterial small subunit ribosomal RNA", at positions 338 to 795 of the family's 1533-position model. The record is from RNAcentral.